Corythoichthys intestinalis (scribbled pipefish) is the source of this 633-nucleotide long non-coding RNA. RefSeq lists it as uncharacterized. The record is from RefSeq and is a predicted model, not a curated record. The transcript has 2 exons. NCBI's taxonomy places the organism in Eukaryota, Metazoa, Chordata, Actinopteri, Syngnathiformes, Syngnathidae.
GCCAUCUAGCAUCGCGGUUGCAACGGCGUCUUCCCCACUCCUGCUCUGCUCUCGUCCCCUACAUGAGCACGUUGCUGGACCCGGGCUCAUCUUCGAGGGGCACAAUCUGCUGGUGACAUAGCUGUUCACAUCCUCCGUUAAAGCCGUCCGUGCAGUCGAUGCCCCUGGAGUAGUCAUAGCAACCGGCGCCAUCCUUCAUCGGCCUCAGCCCAUUAGGACACUGCAUGGGAGACACGGGCAAAGAGGAAGGGGAGGAAGAGAGGGAAGCGGGGUGAUAAGGGAGACAGAAGAAGUGAGCGAGGCACACAGGUCAGCACAUGCAUUUUAAUCAGGAGCCACUAAGGAGGUGCAGGUAGCAGCAAAGAUCAGAGUGGAGGAGUGAGCAGUGACUGUCAAAAGAGGAAAUCAAAGAAGUUUUAGAGAAAAAAAAAAGGAAAAAAAAAAAAAAACAGCUAAAUUAGUAUAUUCCCCAGCCUGUUCACGGAUUGAUGUUUCACAUUUGAAGACUGUUUUAUGUCAUAUCAACAGCCCCACAUACUUUUGUAUUCUUUGAUUUAUAUUAUCAGAGCGGUGUUAAUUGAACAAAAUGGCAUUGUGGAUCAAAGACUCAACUUUUUUUUUUUUUUUUUUUUU